CGGCGUGGCCACCUCGCAGGGCGGCUUUUCGGGACGCGGGGCUGGGGCGGAGCAAAGGGAGUCAGACUUUCAGGCCCGGCCUUCACCCCCGUCCCCGGGCUCCCCGGCGAGAGUUGCAGCUCUUGGCCACCUCCUGCCCGCACGUGAGCCCGAACACUCGGGACACGCAGUCCCCGCGAGGAAGCCCCAGGAAGCUGCAAGCGACUCGGUGAAUGCAAGCUCCCUGAGAGCAGUGGACUUGUAUGUCUUGUUCGACUCUAUACUCCACAUACCUGAAACGGUGCCUGGCUCAACAACCGUCAGAGGCCUUGCAGUAUUGCCUCGCAGUAUUUGUUUUUCAUCCCUUUCCAACACGCCACCCCAUCUGCUCCAAUAAAAGCCAGGUUCUGAAUGAUGACUGACGCGGGUUUGUGUGACAUCCCUCACAGUCCCUAUCAUUCCCCAGUGAUAAGGAGCCCUCAAGUCUAGCCCAGCACCGGGGGGAAAGCAGCUCUGGACGGAGGAAAGCUUCCGCUCGAGGACCGGACAAAAGUACCGCCUUCGCUCGGGCUUCUGCGCGAGGCGAGGGAUCCAGACACGUCGCCCGGUCCGCUCGCCCUCGCUGGCAGACGGUGCGCGGCCGCCGCA
Molecule: long non-coding RNA, 627 nt
Organism: Molossus molossus (Pallas's mastiff bat)
Lineage: Eukaryota; Metazoa; Chordata; Mammalia; Chiroptera; Molossidae
Exons: 4
Source: RefSeq, a predicted model, not a curated record